UACGUAGGGGGCAAGCGUUGUCCGGAUUACUGGGCGUAAAGCGCCUGUAGGCGGCCUGUCAAGUCCGGCCUGAAAGCCCCCCGCUCAACGGGGGAGGGUGGCUGGAAACUGGCAGGCUUGAGGGCGAGAGAGGAGGGUGGAAGUUCCUGGUGUGAGCGGUGAAAUGCGUAGAGAUCAGGAGGAACACCCGUGGCGAAGGCGGCCCUCUGGCUCGACCCUGACGCUGAGAGGCGAAAGCGUGGGGAGCGAACGGG
RNAcentral lists this ribosomal RNA (254 nucleotides) under uncultured bacterium. Its description in RNAcentral is "partial 16S ribosomal RNA". It matches the Rfam family "Bacterial small subunit ribosomal RNA", at positions 524 to 776 of the family's 1533-position model. The record is from RNAcentral.